Erinaceus europaeus (western European hedgehog) is the source of this 277-nucleotide long non-coding RNA. RefSeq lists it as uncharacterized. The transcript is spliced from 4 exons. The record is from RefSeq and is a predicted model, not a curated record. NCBI's taxonomy places the organism in Eukaryota, Metazoa, Chordata, Mammalia, Eulipotyphla, Erinaceidae.
GAAAAGACAACUGAUCUUAUAUUCCAACGUGCUGCUCAUCUCCAACACAAAGUUCAAGAGUGACUGCAGAAUCAAGUACUGGGUGCCCCUGCUGGACAUGUGGGUGGCACACAACUCAAGGAAUGGAGCGAGAGCCCGCACAUCGCUGGUCUUGGGCUGGGAUGACCGCAGCUUCGUGGUCUCUUUUCAUUCAGUCGACAAAAUGGAGCAAUGGUACAAUGAGCUUCAUAGGAACAUUCAGAAUGAGAUUUUGGACUUCCAGAACACCCUCCGAAAG